This 29-nucleotide small RNA is filed under the name Bombyx mori (domestic silkworm). Its description in RNAcentral is "ovarian small RNA-33180". Lineage: Eukaryota; Metazoa; Arthropoda; Insecta; Lepidoptera; Bombycidae. The record is from RNAcentral.
UGAUUUCACCUUUAUAAUACUACUCCGGA